Molecule: long non-coding RNA, 1567 nt
Organism: Nothobranchius furzeri (turquoise killifish)
Lineage: Eukaryota; Metazoa; Chordata; Actinopteri; Cyprinodontiformes; Nothobranchiidae
Source: RefSeq, a predicted model, not a curated record
CUUAGUCAACAUCAACAUCUAGCGACAAUUUCAGGCUGCCAUUCAACCUGACAUGCAUGUUUUGGGCCCGUGGGAGGAAGCUGGAGUAUCGGGAGAAAACAUUGGAUGAGAAGGACAUGCCAGCUCCUUACAGAAAGACUGCAGCUGGGGUUUGAACCUAUCAUUUUCAUGCUGCCAGGUAACAGUGCUAACAACUGUUCCACCAUGCAUGCCCUACUAAAUAAAAAUCUUUAUGAAUGUAAUUUUUUAAUGCAAUAUUCGCUUUGAAAUAUGUUAAAAAUGAGAUGAAAAAAACAUUCAAUUUAUUAUGAUUUUCUGUCAAACCAAGUUUAACCAACUUUGAGUAAUACAAAGUGUCUAGAAUGGAGUCAUCUUAGGAGGAGCCAAAAUGCAGGAAUAGCCAGGUAGGUUUAAAAAUUCCAAAAAGGUUUUAUGUAAAGGCUGUGGAGCCAGAGCAGGAUGAUAAUAACACAUAACGAUGCAAACAUAAGGAACCGACAACGAGUAGUGGAUGUAACUGGGUUUAAGUAGGAAGUGAUGAGGAAACAGGGAACAGAUGUGAGGAUUACUGAUUUGUUAAUGUCUUCAGGUGUGACUUAUAACUGGGGAACGGGAGGAAAUAGAAAAACUCAAAAGGACUGAAUAUGAUAAAAUAAUACGAUACUAGAACUAAAUGUUGCAAGAAUAUACUAACAGUGUUUCCCAACCCUGGUUCUCAGGGCGCACUGUCCUGCAUGUUUUCCAUGUGGCUCUUUCAAACACCAGUGUUUCACUGCUGCCACACACCUGCCUUAAAUAAAUAGGCCAUUAACAGGCAUCUGCAGCACUUGAUGUCCUCCUGAGGAGGCAAUGUGAAGCAGGUGCACUGAAGCAGAGGCAUUGAAAACAUGCAGGUCAGGGUGCCCUGAGGACCAGGGUUGGGAAACACUGUACUAAUAGAUAACUAAGUUAAACAUUGGACUGGACUAAGGGAACAGAACAUAAAUACAUUAGAAAACAUGACUACAACUGAACUAGAAAGCUGGGACAAAAAACAAACAACGAACAGAAUGGCUGGUUUAAUACUGAAGACACCAUGAGGAAAGGGGAAACCGGAGUACCCGGAGGAAACCCACGCAUGCAUGGGGAGAACACGCAACUCCACGCAGAAAGGCCGCAGCCGAGUUUUGAACCUGCAACCUUCGUGCUGCGGGGCAACAGUGCUAACUACUGCGCCACCAUGCAGAAAUGAAGACAAAGAUUCAAGAUGUGUUCCUCAAGAAAUCAAAAGACAAGAGAAAGGAGUUUCUGCAUCAUCAAACACAGACUCCUCUUAUGUGAAGCUCAGAGCAGUUAUCAAACAUUGAUUCGAGCCACACAAAUCCUGUCUGUCUGUGGCUGCCAUUAAAGGGCUGACAGGCGUUUGGUUUGGAAUGCAUUAACAGUGUGAAUCUGUGAAAUAAACAGGGAUGAUGAAAAAAGCUUGCUUCUCUUUUUUGAAGUGUACACAAACAAGAAAUAAUUUAACCGGACCUAAAAAAAAACCCAUUUAGCGCAAACAAAUGCAAUCACUCGUGUUAGCAUUGGU